Wyeomyia smithii (pitcher-plant mosquito) is the source of this 1008-nucleotide long non-coding RNA. RefSeq lists it as uncharacterized. The transcript is spliced from 2 exons. The record is from RefSeq and is a predicted model, not a curated record. NCBI's taxonomy places the organism in Eukaryota, Metazoa, Arthropoda, Insecta, Diptera, Culicidae.
CGCACCCAAUUGGACUACACAGUUACAAAGUGCAACUUGAAAAACGAAAACGAAGAAGUGUGAUCUGUCAAUAUUUGACACUUUUUUGGCAAAUUCAACUGCCAUCACCCUAAACUGACAGUCUGAUCGUUUUUGUUUUAUCUCAGUUUGUUUUUUUUUUUGGAAUCCUCGUAAUGGCCAACAACAACGAUAUUUUACGGAAUGUGCAGCAAAAAAGAGCCUCGAGCAACACCAAGUAUCAUUGCCUUUACGGCUAUUACUUUCUUGGACUGUCAAGAAAAAUGAAAAUUUACGUUUUUGCGCUGAAAUGAAUUCUUUCGAUUGGGACAUUUAUAACCUCGUGUUUCUGGAUGAGAUAUCAGUAGACAAUAAAGGAGUUUUACUGUUUCGCGGAUAUGGUGCAAAAGGGAAGCGGUUAGUUUUUCGAGGGGAAUUUGUGCGACGCGCAAGGGCUUCAUUUUUGUGCUUUCUGAGAUUGAACGGUGUACUGGACAGUUUUGAAACGGAAGGGACAUUCACACGAAUUAAAUUUUUCGAAAGCUGCCGAGAGUUUGCGCUCCGCAACGAUAAGGUGCAUCGCUAUCCUGGACCAAACUCUGUUUGGGUCAUGGAUGGAGCGAAGAUUCAUUGUGACCCAAACAUUUUUUUUAUAUUUGCGCUCUAUCGGCAUUAUCCCUGUAUUUUUACCACCCUACUGCCCUUUUUACAAUCCGCUGGAGUUGGUAUUCGGAACAGCUAAAUCACGUAUCAGAAGAGCUUAUCCAGAAAACACCAAAGCCAACAUGACUCAUGUUGCAUUGGAAACAUUCAUGGGACUAGAGAAUUACGAUUGCACGAAGAUAUUUUAUCAUUGCGGUUAUUCAGCUGGCGGAACAUUUCAUCCUUCAAAAGGCAUGUCGGGCAAUUUUGUAGAUAAAUAUGAAACUAUCUAACGUCUAUCCACCAAUUUAAUAUUCUAAAUUUUCUCCUUGAUUUAAUAAAUAAAUAUUGACUACAAUAAGAAAAGCA